RNAcentral lists this ribosomal RNA (418 nucleotides) under uncultured delta proteobacterium. RNAcentral describes it as "bacterial SSU rRNA". It matches the Rfam family "Bacterial small subunit ribosomal RNA", at positions 9 to 431 of the family's 1533-position model. The record is from RNAcentral. Lineage: Bacteria; Deltaproteobacteria.
GAGUUUGAUCGUGGCUCAGAACGAACGCUGGCGGCGUGCCUAACACAUGCAAGUCGCACGAGAAAGUUCUUCGGAACGAGUACAGUGGCGCACGGGUGAGUAAUCCAUAGGAACGUGUCAUUAGGAGGGGAAUAACAACGGGAAACCGUUGCUAAUACCGCAUAACGUAGCAAUACCAAAGACGGCCUCUAUUUAUAAGCUGUCACCUAAUGAGCGGCCUAUGUCCCAUUAGCUAGUUGGUGGGGUAAAAGCCUACCAAGGCAACGAUGGGUAGCUGGUCUGAGAGGACGAUCAGCCACACUGGAACUGAGACACGGUCCAGACUCCUACGGGAGGCAGCAGUGGGGAAUAUUGCACAAUGGGCGCAAGCCUGAUGCAGCAACGCCGCGUGAGUGAAGAAGGCCUUCGGUUGUAAGAC